This 73-nucleotide transfer RNA is filed under the name Rattus norvegicus (Norway rat). It matches the Rfam family "tRNA". From Rfam's summary of the family: Transfer RNA (tRNA) molecules are approximately 80 nucleotides in length. Their secondary structure includes four short double-helical elements and three loops (D, anti-codon, and T loops). Lineage: Eukaryota; Metazoa; Chordata; Mammalia; Rodentia; Muridae. The record is from Rfam by way of RNAcentral.
GGAGAUGUAGCUCAGUUGUUAGAGCACUUGUCUACCAUGCAGGAAGCCCUAGGUUCAAUCCUCAGCAUCACAU